This 454-nucleotide ribosomal RNA is filed under the name uncultured Eubacteriales bacterium. Its description in RNAcentral is "bacterial SSU rRNA". It matches the Rfam family "Bacterial small subunit ribosomal RNA", at positions 917 to 1370 of the family's 1533-position model. Lineage: Bacteria; Bacillati; Bacillota; Clostridia; Eubacteriales. The record is from RNAcentral.
GGACCCGCACAAGCAGCGGAGCAUGUGGUUUAAUUCGAAGCAACGCGAAGAACCUUACCAGGGCUUGACAUCCUGCUGACAGGUCGGUAAAACGACCCUUCUUCGGACAGCAGUGACAGGUGGUGCAUGGUUGUCGUCAGCUCGUGUCGUGAGAUGUUGGGUUAAGUCCCGCAACGAGCGCAACCCUUGUCAUUAGUUGCCAUCAAGUUAAGUUGGGCACUCUAAUGAGACUGGGGCCGGUGAUAAACCGGAGGAAGGUGGGGAUGACGUCAAAUCAUCAUGCCCCUUAUGUUCUGGGCUACACACGUGCUACAAUGGCUGGUACAAAACGAAGCGAUACCGCGAGGUGGAGCCAAUCAAUAAAACCAGUCUCAGUUCGGAUUGUAGGCUGCAAUUCGCCUACAUGAAGUCGGAGUUGCUAGUAAUCGUGAAUCAGAAUGUCACGGUGAAUGCG